AGGUCGUGCGGAACCGUCGCAUAAAAGGGGACAGCUGUGCUCACUGGUGCUACAGCUCGCUGCAGACACAGAAGAACAACGCUCAAGAUGCCAGACCCCUGCUGUGGAAGCGGAAAGGGAUGCGAGGGUUCCGGGUGCAAAUGCGGCAGUGGCUGCACUUGCUCCAACUGCGCAUGCGGAACGAAGGGGUCUUCCGGUGGCACCAAGGACAAGCAAUAGAAGAAACUUUCUUAGCGGAUACCAUGCAAGCUCUCCAUCAUUGCUUCGCGAAGAACAACACUGUCACUUCAAAAGUCGUCACUUGCGUGUAAUAAUAUAUAGAGAUUGUACAUGUACAAUUUUGUUUUGGAUUGUGCGCAUUUUAAUGGAAUUAAAAUAAAUUUCUACAUUAAAUGAAAAA
Cryptotermes secundus is the source of this 400-nucleotide long non-coding RNA. RefSeq lists it as uncharacterized. The transcript is spliced from 3 exons. Lineage: Eukaryota; Metazoa; Arthropoda; Insecta; Blattodea; Kalotermitidae. The record is from RefSeq and is a predicted model, not a curated record.